UCCUGCGUAGCUCAGUUGGCAGAGCGUUCGACUGUUAAUCGAAUGGUCGCUGGUUCAAGCCCAGCCGCAGGAGCCG
This 76-nucleotide transfer RNA is filed under the name Gardnerella vaginalis JCP7275. RNAcentral's name for it is "tRNA-Asn". It matches the Rfam family "tRNA". From Rfam's summary of the family: Transfer RNA (tRNA) molecules are approximately 80 nucleotides in length. The record is from RNAcentral. Lineage: Bacteria; Bacillati; Actinomycetota; Actinomycetes; Bifidobacteriales; Bifidobacteriaceae.